This 788-nucleotide non-coding RNA is filed under the name Aradacanthia heissi. The record is from RNAcentral. Lineage: Eukaryota; Metazoa; Arthropoda; Insecta; Hemiptera; Aradidae.
GAGGACCGUAAUGCUCCGGUUUUUAUGUUUUUGGUUGGUAACUUAACAACUUAAUUCUGGUUGGUUUGGAUUAUUUAUUCUUAGUUUUGUAUGCAUUAUUUUAUUUUUCUAAAUGAGGUUGUUAUGCAACUUUUAAUUUUGGUUUUAUGUUGAUUGCAUGAUUCAGUUAAGGUUAAAAGGACUGGUAAAGUUUUGUGCCAGCAAUCGCGGUUAUACAAUAAGUUCAAAUAAUUCUUCUUUUUGGUUGUAUAUUAAUUUAAUUUUAUUGUUAAAUUUGUAUAUUUUUGGGUGAAAUUUAAAUUUUUAUUUAGCUUAUUUAUAUUAAUUAUAUUAAUACAUUUUUAUAAACUAGGAUUAGAUACCCUAUUAUUAAUGUUUAAAGAAUUUCUAUAAAAUUAAUAGGUAUGAUCUUUAAAUUAAAAGAAUUUGGCGGCAAAUUAGUCCUUUCAGAGGAACCUGUUUAUUAAUCGAUAGUCCACGAUUGGUUUAACUUUUAUUUUUGUUUAUAUACCUCUAUGAAGAAUGUAUUUAAAGGUUAUUUUCUAUUUUCUUUAAUUAGAUUAAUUUUAGGUCAAGGUGUAGCUAUAUAAAUGGUUAAAUGGGUUACAUUUAAAUUAUUAAUGGAUUUUUAUUUUAUAUUAUAAGAUGAAAUUGGAUUUGGAAGUAAUAUUAAAUAAAUUUUUAUUGUGACUUAGGCUCUAAUUUGUGUACACAUCGCCCGUCGCUCUCAUUUAAAGAUGAGAUAAGUCGUAACAAAGUAGGCUUACCGGAAGGUGAACCUUGAAUGU